This 68-nucleotide transfer RNA is filed under the name Hyosciurus ileile (lowland long-nosed squirrel). RNAcentral describes it as "tRNA-Ser". It matches the Rfam family "tRNA". From Rfam's summary of the family: Transfer RNA (tRNA) molecules are approximately 80 nucleotides in length. Their secondary structure includes four short double-helical elements and three loops (D, anti-codon, and T loops). Lineage: Eukaryota; Metazoa; Chordata; Mammalia; Rodentia; Sciuridae. The record is from RNAcentral.
AGAAAGACAUAGUGGUUAUGAAGCUGGCUUGAAACUAGUUGUGGGAGGUUCGAUUCCUUCCUUUCUUG